Molecule: ribosomal RNA, 249 nt
Filed under: uncultured bacterium
Lineage: Bacteria
Description: partial 16S ribosomal RNA
Rfam family: Bacterial small subunit ribosomal RNA
Source: RNAcentral
CGUGAGAUGUUGGGUUAAGUCCCGCAACGAGCGCAACCCUUACGGUUAGUUGAUACGCAAGAUCACUCUAGCCGGACUGCCGUUGACAAAACGGAGGAAGGUGGGGACGACGUCAAAUCAUCAUGCCCCUUAUGGCCUGGGCUACACACGUACUACAAUGGCAGUCAUACAGAGGGAAGCAAAGCCGCGAGGUGGAGCAAAUCCCUAAAAGCUGUCCCAGUUCAGAUUGCAGGCUGCAACCCGCCUGCA